RNAcentral lists this long non-coding RNA (1592 nucleotides) under Xyrichtys novacula (pearly razorfish). Lineage: Eukaryota; Metazoa; Chordata; Actinopteri; Labriformes; Labridae. The record is from RNAcentral.
UCUAGAUCUUGGUGAGUCUCUUAAAUUUCUAAGGUUAAUUCAAUGUCAUUUUAAAAAAAUUCUGGUAGUUAAUUGUUUUGACUUUACUACCUGCUCUUUUGGUACUUAAAGGAGGAAUGGGCCGAACACAGCGAUUUGAGGGUGAACCUGACCAUCUUGUUCCAGCAGCAUCAGAGGUGCUUAUUGAAAGCAACCUCUUCCAGGUUGCAGGAGGGAUGCUGGCCCACAGCUUUCUACAUGAUGGUCCCCAUGUCGCAGUUCUCCUGUCAUUUAUGUACUGUUCAAUGGGGACCCUGAAACAGCAACUGUUGUUACAGAAGACUGCCCUGAUCUGCACAUCAGGAGUAUCAUAAAACUGGUAUGUACCACAAAAAACUUUUGCAAAAAAUAUUCGGGAAAAUGUAAUAACUUGUAUGGUCUUGUUUCAAGCUUGAACAUGAAGAACUUAAGGAGACAGUUUCAGAUCUUGCCAUAUCUUGGGAUCUCCCUGCAGUCACCAAAACAAAUCAGAGAUGGCUACAUAACAAACUUCUCCUCCACGCAGUGAAUACCUGCAGGUUAACUUAAGUGGCACAAUUCAAAGCUAAUACUGGCAGGAAUAAAAUGGUCAAGCAAAUUUCUGAGAGAACAGGAGAGAGAGAGAGAGAGAGAGAGGGAGAGAGAGGGACUUUUUUCAUCUAAAUUUAGUUGUGAAAUUUUUGCUUUGCCCAUGGUCAUGUUUAAGUUUUUCAAAACCAGCAUUUAAUGCACAGUGUAUAGAAAUAGUCUGUUGUUUAUGGUUUAACCACAGCAUUUCUCAUGCCUAGAAGUGUUGAAAUUUAGGUUGAGGUGCUGUAAUAUUUGUUGGGUCCUUGUCUUAGGUAAUUGGGAGGACUGGUGUUUGGUGUUUGGAUGUCUUCUGUGAAGCUCAGUUACGAUACAGUCUAACUCCUCAUUAGUGAUUGUUGAAUAGAGGUCUGUCUUUCUGUACAAGCAGAAAAAAAGAAUAAUUUUACCUUUAAUAUCCUUUCUGCGUGGAUGAGACAAUUAAGCAAUUCAUUAACUGACGAAUAAUUGAUUUAAUGUCAAUACCUUAAAGCAUGUUGUUUGAUGCACCUGCUGAUGGUCCUCUUUGACACGCCGAACAUUAUUGCAAUUUGACUGGCUGACAAUCCACAAAGAACGUGGUGUUUAAGAACUGCAAUCGGUAUGUCAAAUGCCAAACGCCCUGGUCCUUGUGUCUGUGGGGCUUGUUGUGUCCUAUGAGACAAGCGGCGAAGUACUUCCUCUAAAUUUUCUGUCACUUUGGUGUCUAUAUCUUGGUUAGCAAGCGCAGGAAAUAGGCCCAAAGCCUCGAUAAAUUCUUCAAUUUUAUCAGCAACUUGCUCUGGGUCAGCAGGUCCUGCUUCCACAUCCUCUAGUAACUGUAAAAUCCCUCUCACCAAUUCCCUCGGAAGGUCCUCCAUGUCCCUCUCCCAGCUACUUCAGACCAAAGUAACAGAUCAGACUGGAUUCGUUACCCCCGCCCACUCACUUUGACGGGUGAGUUUGACAGAUGAAAUUAUUUCAUGAUGCACUGCAACACCUGAUCAUAAAAUGAAUGUAUUUUCAUG